Molecule: long non-coding RNA, 345 nt
Organism: Corticium candelabrum
Lineage: Eukaryota; Metazoa; Porifera; Homoscleromorpha; Homosclerophorida; Plakinidae
Exons: 3
Source: RefSeq, a predicted model, not a curated record
GUGGGAUGGUCUUCGAUCGGAUGCUCUCAACUCUAUUGCCAAACGAUGUCAAACGAACUGUGGAUAUCUUCACUAUCAAACGUGCACAACAAAAACAACACGAUCGAGCUUGCUUUUCCGGUCGACUGCAGAGACUGUCGAUGCCUAAUGGAGUAGAACGAGGAUUUCACUGAACGUGACUACUCCUCUUGUUGACCUUGGACUUGAAUUAUGGAAGCAACAGCCAGUGUAAACGAGGCUACUAGUACAAUAUCGGUAGAGAAGAAAAAGAGAAAGAGGGCAACCAAAAUGGUCUCACACAAUGAGAGGAGACUCGCAAUACGUGAUGGCUUACAAACAUCUUGG